Molecule: transfer RNA, 89 nt
Filed under: Pyropia pulchra
Lineage: Eukaryota; Rhodophyta; Bangiophyceae; Bangiales; Bangiaceae
Description: tRNA-Ser
Rfam family: tRNA
About the family: Transfer RNA (tRNA) molecules are approximately 80 nucleotides in length. Their secondary structure includes four short double-helical elements and three loops (D, anti-codon, and T loops).
Source: RNAcentral
UGGAUAAAUGGCUGAGUGGUUUAAAGCAAUGGUUUGCUAAAUCAUCGUAUAAAAUUUUGUACCGUGGGUUCGAAUCCCUCUUUAUCCAG